CGUAGGAUUAGCUUGUUGGCGGGGUAACGGCCCACCSAAGUCUGCGAUCAGUAACUGGUGUGAGAGCACGGCCAGUCACACGGGCACUGAGACACGGGCCCGACUCCUACGGGAGGCAGCAGUGRGGAAUAUUGGUCAAUGGACGCAAGUGUGAACCAGCCAUGCCGCGUGGAGGAUUAAGGCCCUCUGGGUUGUAAACUCCUUUUAUCUGGGAAGAAAUGCAUUUUUUCUAAAGUGCUUGACG
Molecule: ribosomal RNA, 244 nt
Filed under: uncultured Sphingomonas sp.
Lineage: Bacteria; Pseudomonadati; Pseudomonadota; Alphaproteobacteria; Sphingomonadales; Sphingomonadaceae
Description: partial 16S ribosomal RNA
Rfam family: Bacterial small subunit ribosomal RNA
Source: RNAcentral